RNAcentral lists this unclassified non-coding RNA (338 nucleotides) under uncultured bacterium. RNAcentral's name for it is "contains 16S-23S intergenic spacer region". The stretch from base 1 to 125 matches the Rfam family "5.8S ribosomal RNA", at positions 30 to 154 of the family's 154-position model. The record is from RNAcentral.
GCAUCGAUGAAGAACGCAGCGAAAUGCGAUAAGUAAUGUGAAUUGCAGAAUUCAGUGAAUCAUCGAAUCUUUGAACGCACAUUGCGCCCGGUGGUAUUCCGCCGGGCAUGCCUGUUCGAGCGUCAUUUAAACCAAUCCAGCCUCGUGCUUGGGUCUUGGGCCUUUCGCCUCCGGGCGGGCCUCAAAAUCAGUGGCGGUGCCUCCUGGCUCUAAGCGUAGUAAUACUCCUCGCUAUAGACGUUCGGUGGUGUCCUGCCAGCAACCCCCCCAUUUUCAAAGGUUGACCUCGGAUCAGGUAGGGAUACCCGCUGAACUUAAGCAUAUCAAUAAGCGGAGGA